AGUUUUCGGAUGGAAUUUGAUUGACUGAGUGGCGGACGGGUGAGUAACGCGUGGAUAACCUGCCUCACACUGGGGGAUAACAGUUAGAAAUGACUGCUAAUACCGCAUAAGCGCACAGUACCGCAUGGUACGGUGUGAAAAACUCCGGUGGUGUGAGAUGGAUCCGCGUCUGAUUAGCCAGUUGGCGGGGUAACGGCCCACCAAAGCGACGAUCAGUAGCCGACCUGAGAGGGUGACCGGCCACAUUGGGACUGAGACACGGCCCAAACUCCUACGGGAGGCAGCAGUGGGGAAUAUUGCACAAUGGGCGAAAGCCUGAUGCAGCGACGCCGCGUGAGUGAAGAAGUAUUUCGGUAUGUAAAGCUCUAUCAGCAGAGAAGAAAAUGACGGUACCUGACUAAGAAGCCCCGGCUAACUACGUGCCAGCAGCCGCGGUAAUACGUAGGGGGCAAGCGUUAUCCGGAUUUACUGGGUGUAAAGGGAGCGUAGACGGCGAAGCAAGUCUGAAGUGAAAACCCAGGGCUCAACCCUGGGACUGCUUUGGAAACUGUUUUGCUAGAGUGUCGGAGAGGUAAGUGGAAUUCCUAGUGUAGCGGUGAAAUGCGUAGAUAUUAGGAGGAACACCAGUGGCGAAGGCGGCUUACUGGACGAUA
RNAcentral lists this ribosomal RNA (653 nucleotides) under uncultured Lachnospiraceae bacterium. RNAcentral's name for it is "bacterial SSU rRNA". It matches the Rfam family "Bacterial small subunit ribosomal RNA", at positions 72 to 738 of the family's 1533-position model. Lineage: Bacteria; Bacillati; Bacillota; Clostridia; Lachnospirales; Lachnospiraceae. The record is from RNAcentral.